Molecule: unclassified non-coding RNA, 143 nt
Organism: Vulpes vulpes (red fox)
Lineage: Eukaryota; Metazoa; Chordata; Mammalia; Carnivora; Canidae
Source: Ensembl
AAGGAGCACACAAACAUUACGGGAAUUUUGUAUAGUAUGCAGAAUAAAACAGAAAACAGAACAUUGUCGUCAGACCGUAACAUAAAAUUAGAAAUUAAUCACAAAGCCAGUCAAAACUUCCAAUCAUGUAUGGGUUGAAGAAG